UACAGGGGGAGCAAGCGUUAUCCGGAAUGAUUGGGCGUAAAGCAUUCGUAGGUGGUUUAUAAAGUCUACUGUUAAAUUCCAGAGCUUAACUUUGACAAAGCAGUGGAGUACUUAUAAACUAGAGCGUGAUAGGGGUAGAGGGAAUUCCCUGUGAAACGGUGAAAUGUGUAGAUAUAGGGAAGAACACCAUUAGCGAAAGCGCUCUACUGGGUCAAAGCUGACACUGAGGGAUGAAAGUAUGGGGAGCAAAUAGG
This 254-nucleotide ribosomal RNA is filed under the name uncultured bacterium. RNAcentral's name for it is "partial 16S ribosomal RNA". It matches the Rfam family "Bacterial small subunit ribosomal RNA", at positions 524 to 776 of the family's 1533-position model. The record is from RNAcentral.